UAUCUUGACAUUUAUUUGAUGUUGCUAAAUAAUGUAAGUGUGUUUUAUACACUAUAGCAAUAAAAUUACUUUGUAAUAGAUGUAUUGGACCCGAGGGCAGUACUCGGCGCCUCCACUAUACUUUAAUUCACAUGGGGGCGAAUAAGGAUCGACAUGCAUAGUAAAGAUGGUAGCUUUGCUCGGUUAGAUACCACCGUUAAGAGUUCAUAAUUUAAACGCAAACGAUAAUUUUGCUGCUGAGGGUAAUGUUACAUCACUAGCUGCUUAACUAAGCACUGUAAUCUCAUUACCAUAAGCACGGUUUAGGGAACGCCGGGUAACAGAAAGUUCCCUCA
This 335-nucleotide transfer-messenger RNA is filed under the name Wolbachia endosymbiont of Cruorifilaria tuberocauda. It matches the Rfam family "Alphaproteobacteria transfer-messenger RNA". Rfam says of the family: Bacterial tmRNA, also known as 10Sa RNA or SsrA, is named for its dual tRNA and mRNA-like properties. The record is from RNAcentral. Lineage: Bacteria; Pseudomonadati; Pseudomonadota; Alphaproteobacteria; Rickettsiales; Anaplasmataceae.